RNAcentral lists this transfer RNA (70 nucleotides) under Ceratopus sp. CG351. Its description in RNAcentral is "tRNA-Thr". Lineage: Eukaryota; Metazoa; Arthropoda; Insecta; Coleoptera; Curculionidae. The record is from RNAcentral.
GCAUUAGUUUUAAUAAUUUAAAAAAAAUACUGGUCUUGUAAACCAGAAAUAAGAUAUUUCUUUUAAAACU